This 23-nucleotide microRNA is filed under the name Eptesicus fuscus (big brown bat). Its description in RNAcentral is "efu-miR-574". Its record names the gene efu-miR-574. Lineage: Eukaryota; Metazoa; Chordata; Mammalia; Chiroptera; Vespertilionidae. The record is from miRBase by way of RNAcentral.
CUCAUGCACACACCCACACGCCC